GCCUCUUGUUAAUGUGUAAUAUUUAUUUCCUGGGUGUCGGUAAUAAGGGCGGAAUUGUUGGUCCUGACUUCGCUGUGUGACUAUAUGUCGGUAUUGAUCCCCGCUCAUGAGUGAAGGGGAAUCGCCGUUCGCCCUCGUGACGUCAUCACGCUGCCCCUGGCGUAACGUGGAGGCAGAGUGCAGGGUAAGCCGGUGAAAGAGUGAUUAGUGCCAUGGUAAUGAAGGCUUCCAUGGAAGAUGAUGAUUCAGGAUGGGAACUUUCCAUGCAGGACAAGAUGGGAAAGAGCAAUGCCAACUGGAUAGACAUCACUCAGGAAUUCAGAGAUGCGUGUAGCGAACUGAAGCUGGGAGAACUCCUUCAUGAUAAACUGUA
This is a long non-coding RNA of Nanorana parkeri, 373 nucleotides long. RefSeq lists it as uncharacterized. The record is from RefSeq and is a predicted model, not a curated record. The transcript has 3 exons. Lineage: Eukaryota; Metazoa; Chordata; Amphibia; Anura; Dicroglossidae.